ACAGCUGGUCCUGGCUGCGUGCCUCUGCCGUCUCAGCAGCUGGAGGUGGGGGAAGGUUCUAGUCCAAGCAGGACCCCAGCCGGCCAUGUGGCUGAGGUCAGGGCCACUGCUCUCCGCACCCAGUUUCCUCCUCUGAGCCGCGAAGGAGGUGGGGGAAGGUUGCCAGACAAAAGGUGGGAUGCCCAGUUUAAUGUGAGUGUCAGGUAAACAGCAAACACAUUUCAGUGUGAGUGUAUUCCAUGCAAUCUUUGGGACACACUUACACUAAACAAUGACUUAUUUUCUAUCUGAUAGUGGAUGUGACCUGCGCAGCCUGUAUUUUCAUUGCAGAUGAGGCCAGUGACCUUCAUGGCACAGGGCUGACCUUUUGUGGUCUGACCCCUGAGGACCAUGACUUGGACAUGGCUGACAAGUGUCAGGAUGAGAAGUUCUUCCGGAUGCUGGCCCAGGAGACCCCCCAGGAAGACCGUCCCUUCACCCUAUGUGGUAUCUGUAGGUGUAUUGUCAGCUGGGUGAAGAAUUGCCUGGGCUUCAACCUGAUUCAGAAAGUCAUUGAAAAAGUUGCAGGCCUGUUGUGUUCAGCAUGCCCAUUGGUGGAAAAUAUCUGCAAAGCAUGGAUUACCAGUUUUCUUGAUAAAAUCACCUCUACACUGCUGCAUAUGGAACCUUCCAGGCACAUCUGUGUGUUUCUCGGGAUGUGCUGCCCUUACUAGGUCUCUGAGCCUCUGGGGUCUCUGACGUCACCCUGGGAAGAAGCACAGAGUCUCCCACAACCACCACCUGCUUCUGCCCUCCCAGAUCCACAGCCGACCCUCCAGUGUCUCUCAGCUAACUUCUCAUUGCCUUCCCCUGAGGGAGAAUAAAUGUCAUGCAAGCUUUUA
Molecule: RNA transcript, 881 nt
Organism: Felis catus (domestic cat)
Lineage: Eukaryota; Metazoa; Chordata; Mammalia; Carnivora; Felidae
Gene name: antimicrobial peptide NK-lysin-like
Exons: 5
Source: RefSeq, a predicted model, not a curated record